UUGGCCGAACUGUUCCCCCCUUUCCUUGGGAGGCGCGGGAGGAAGGAUGAAGGGGGAGGGAGGGGUGCUGGUUCCGGACAGGAGGAGCGGGACCAGGAAGAAGGGCCCCUUCGUCCAGCCACUGUGCUCCGCUCCAACCUGGAGGCCUUCAGACAGGAACUCUCCCAUCAUCCGGCCACCGAUGCAUGGAUUUGACAGCUUGGAAAAACAAGAACAAAAGAGAUGAUAACAUCCAGUGCUGUCAAGGACAUGAGACAAUUCCGCCCAUGACUGCCCACUGGAGUGGAAUUUAGUGAUGCUUCAUGGGAGGGCCUUUGGCAGUAAACCAUCAAAUAAAAAUGA
Long non-coding RNA from Balaenoptera ricei (Rice's whale), 342 nucleotides. RefSeq lists it as uncharacterized. NCBI's taxonomy places the organism in Eukaryota, Metazoa, Chordata, Mammalia, Artiodactyla, Balaenopteridae. The transcript has 3 exons. The record is from RefSeq and is a predicted model, not a curated record.